This 422-nucleotide small RNA is filed under the name Histoplasma capsulatum. RNAcentral describes it as "hypothetical RNA". Lineage: Eukaryota; Fungi; Ascomycota; Eurotiomycetes; Onygenales; Ajellomycetaceae. RNAcentral also lists the same sequence under 1 other name. The record is from RNAcentral.
GACAAGCCAUUGGACCGGAUUCUACGCUGUUGAUGAAACAUCAUCGUUCAUUCAUUGAUUGAUUCACUGAUUCAUUCAUUUUUUCAUGUUUCUUUUUUCUUUUUUUUUUUUUUUAAAAAAAUCUUUUCUCUGGUUUCAAUUGGCCUGUUCAACAGGAUUUUAUGUUGACAUAUGGAUAAGAUAAAAUAUUAUAUCACCUAUCUUUACUCCACGGCCCGGGGAAAUCCAGGAUAGAGGAGAGAAGAGGGGCGAGAAAAGAAGGAAUAUCCGGAAAAGAUUGAACGUGCUUCUAAAAUUUGAGCUCUUUUUUGACUGGCUCGCCCCGGUGGUUGAGGUGUUUUUGUACCCUAUCAAAAUCCCAAGUGCUUUGGAGUACUAAGAUUUCACGAGCCUUGGGCACUUUGUACCGCAAAAAUCUGACC